UACGUAGGGUGCAAGCGUUAAUCGGAAUUACUGGGCGUAAAGCGUGCGCAGGCGGCUUUGCAAGACAGAUGUGAAAUCCCCGGGCUUAACCUGGGAACUGCAUCCGAGACUGCAUGGCUAGAGUAUGGGAGAGGGAAGUGGAAUUUCAGGUGUAGCGGUGAAAUGCGUAGAUAUCUGAAGGAACAUCAGUGGCGUAGGCGACUCGCUGGGCCAGUACCGACACUGAGGCGCGACAGCGUGGGGAGCAAACAGG
RNAcentral lists this ribosomal RNA (253 nucleotides) under uncultured bacterium. RNAcentral's name for it is "partial 16S ribosomal RNA". It matches the Rfam family "Bacterial small subunit ribosomal RNA", at positions 524 to 776 of the family's 1533-position model. The record is from RNAcentral.